RNAcentral lists this ribosomal RNA (251 nucleotides) under uncultured bacterium. RNAcentral's name for it is "partial 16S ribosomal RNA". It matches the Rfam family "Bacterial small subunit ribosomal RNA", at positions 524 to 776 of the family's 1533-position model. The record is from RNAcentral.
UACGGAGGGGUUAGCGUUGUUCGGAAUUACUGGGCGUAAAGCGCGCGUAGGCGGGCUGUUAAGUCGGGGUGAAAUCCCGGGGCUCAACCCCGGAACGGCCCUCGAUACUGGCAGCCUAGAGUUCGAGAGAGGUGAGUGGAAUUCCGAGUGUAGAGGUGAAAUUCGUAGAUAUUCGGAGGAACACCAGUGGCGAAGGCGGCUCACUGGCUCGAUACUGACGCUGAGGUGCGAAAGCGUGGGGAGCAAACAGG